This 897-nucleotide ribosomal RNA is filed under the name Purpureocillium lilacinum. RNAcentral describes it as "LSU rRNA". It matches the Rfam family "Eukaryotic large subunit ribosomal RNA", at positions 37 to 965 of the family's 3401-position model. Lineage: Eukaryota; Fungi; Ascomycota; Sordariomycetes; Hypocreales; Ophiocordycipitaceae. The record is from RNAcentral.
AGCAUAUCAAUAAGCGGAGGAAAAGAAACCAACAGGGAUUGCCCCAGUAACGGCGAGUGAAGCGGCAACAGCUCAAAUUUGAAAUCUGGCCCCCAGGGCCCGAGUUGUAAUUUGCAGAGGAUGCUUUUGGCGCGGUGCCUUCCGAGUUCCCUGGAACGGGACGCCAUAGAGGGUGAGAGCCCCGUCUGGUCGGACGCCUAGCCUGUGUAAAGCUCCUUCGACGAGUCGAGUAGUUUGGGAAUGCUGCUCUAAAUGGGAGGUAUAUGUCUUCUAAAGCUAAAUACCGGCCAGAGACCGAUAGCGCACAAGUAGAGUGAUCGAAAGAUGAAAAGCACUUUGAAAAGAGGGUUAAAUAGUACGUGAAAUUGUUGAAAGGGAAGCGCUUGUGACCAGACUUGGGCCCGGUGGAUCAUCCAGCGUUCUCGCUGGUGCACUCCGCCGGGUUCAGGCCAGCAUCAGUUCGCCGCGGGGGAAAAAGGCUUCGGGAACGUGGCUCCUACGGGAGUGUUAUAGCCCGUUGCAUAAUACCCUGGGGCGGACUGAGGUUCGCGCUCCGCAAGGAUGCUGGCGUAAUGGUCAUCAGCGACCCGUCUUGAAACACGGACCAAGGAGUCGUCUUCGUAUGCGAGUGUUCGGGUGUAAAACCCCUACGCGUAAUGAAAGUGAACGCAGGUGAGAGCUUCGGCGCAUCAUCGACCGAUCCUGAUGUUCUCGGAUGGAUUUGAGUAAGAGCAUACGGGGCCGGACCCGAAAGAAGGUGAACUAUGCCUGUAUAGGGUGAAGCCAGAGGAAACUCUGGUGGAGGCUCGCAGCGGUUCUGACGUGCAAAUCGAUCGUCAAAUAUGGGCAUGGGGGCGAAAGACUAAUCGAACCUUCUAGUAGCUGGUUUCCGCCGAA